GCUACACAUGCAAGUCGAACGGCAGCACAGUAAGAGCUUGCUCUUAUGGGUGGCGAGUGGCGGACGGGUGAGGAAUACAUCGGAAUCUACUCUUUCGUGGGGGAUAACGUAGGGAAACUUACGCUAAUACCGCAUACGACCUACGGGUGAAAGCGGAGGACCUUCGGGCUUCGCGCGAUUGAAUGAGCCGAUGUCGGAUUAGCUAGUUGGCGGGGUAAAGGCCCACCAAGGCGACGAUCCGUAGCUGGUCUGAGAGGAUGAUCAGCCACACUGGAACUGAGACACGGUCCAGACUCCUACGGGAGGCAGCAGUGGGGAAUAUUGGACAAUGGGCGCAAGCCUGAUCCAGCCAUGCCGCGUGGGUGAAGAAGGCCUUCGGGUUGUAAAGCCCUUUUGUUGGGAAAGAAAAGCAGUCGGUUAAUACCCGAUUGUUCUGACGGUACCCAAAGAAUAAGCACCGGCUAACUUCGUGCCAGCAGCCGCGGUAAUACGAAGGGUGCAAGCGUUACUCGGAAUUACUGGGCGUAAAGCGUGCGUAGGUGGUGGUUUAAGUCUGUUGUGAAAGCCCUGGGCUCAACCUGGGAAUUGCAGUGGAUACUGGGUCACUAGAGUGUGGUAGAGGGUAGCGGAAUUCCCGGUGUAGCAGUGAAAUGCGUAGAGAUCGGGAGGAACAUCCGUGGCGAAGGCGGCUACCUGGACCAACACUGACACUGAGGCACGAAAGCGUGGGGAGCAAACAGGAUUAGAUACCCUGGUAGUCCACGCCCUAUACGAUGCGAACUGGAUGUUGGGUGCAAUUUGGCACGCAGUAUCGAAGCUAACGCGUUAAGUUCGCCGCCUGGGGAGUACGGUCGCAAGACUGAAACUCAAAGGAAUUGACGGGGGCCCGCACAAGCGGUGGAGUAUGUGGUUUAAUUCGAUGCAACGCGAAGAACCUUACCUGGUCUUGACGUCCACGGAACUUUCCAGAGAUGGAUUGCUGCCUUCGGCAACCGAGAGACAGGUGCUGCAUGG
Molecule: ribosomal RNA, 1014 nt
Filed under: Xanthomonas campestris pv. campestris
Lineage: Bacteria; Pseudomonadati; Pseudomonadota; Gammaproteobacteria; Lysobacterales; Lysobacteraceae
Description: bacterial SSU rRNA
Rfam family: Bacterial small subunit ribosomal RNA
Source: RNAcentral